Molecule: ribosomal RNA, 253 nt
Filed under: uncultured bacterium
Lineage: Bacteria
Description: partial 16S ribosomal RNA
Rfam family: Bacterial small subunit ribosomal RNA
Source: RNAcentral
UACGGAGGGAGCUAGCGUUAUUCGGAAUUACUGGGCGUAAAGCGCACGUAGGCGGCUUUGUAAGUUAGAGGUGAAAGCCUGGAGCUCAACUCCAGAAUUGCCUUUAAGACUGCAUCGCUUGAAUCCAGGAGAGGUGAGUGGAAUUCCGAGUGUAGAGGUGAAAUUCGUAGAUAUUCGGAAGAACACCAGUGGCGAAGGCGACUCACUGGACACGUAUUGACGCUGAGGUGCGAAAGCGUGGGGAGCAAACAGG